AAAUAUUUUCUUAUCUGUCCAAAGUCUGCAAUCAUUUUAAUAUGCAAUAUCAAUUAGCAAAAUCCGAAAAAACUGAAAUGCCUCUCAUACCGACUUCACGAAAUAUUCAUAACACUCAAGGCUCCUAUCCUUGACAUUACAUUUUUGCGUACUUAGAAUUUUAUCUGCCUGACUAACCCAAAACUUUUCGAGUUUAUUAGUCGAGAACGCGAGGUGCUACGUUAAUGUUUAUUUUAACAGUAGAAGAGACUCAUUGUCAGAAAUUCUUUUCCGCAAACCUAGAAUUUCACUGGUCUGUCUGGCGUCGAACUUUCAGGGCUUAUUAUUUGAGAAUGCGUGAUAAGACGGGAAUGCGGUUUUCACGACGAUGACUUGUCUUGAUGGUAGAACAGUGUCAUACGUUUCAAAUUUUUCUCGGGCACACCUGGAUUUACAUCUGUCUGUCACAUGACUUUCGGAGCUUAUUAUUCGAGAACGCAUAAUCGGACCGGAAUGCGGUUUUCAUGGCGAUGACUUAUCUUGAUAGUAAAACAGUGUCAUGACAAACUUUCGGAGAAAAUAAAUUUCAAAUUUUUUUCGCGUACAUCUGGAUUCACACAUGUCUGUCACAUACCACAAACUUUUGGAGCUUAUUACUCGAGAACGUGUGAUCUGACGGAAAUGCGGUUUUCAUGGCAAACUUAUUUUGAUAAGAGAAUAAUAUUAUAUGCCACCAAACUUUUGAGGCCUAUUACUCGAAGACUUGUGUCAGGACGUUUUUAUGAUUAUUCCAUCUGGCCUCGGCGAAUGGAGAACGUCGCUACCUGGCAACUGUGAUAGUAGGAGUAUUACGUUGACGAGGUGACGCACAGUCGCCAUCGAGAUGCCGGACGCUUUAUCCUUUUGACGCAACCAGCAAAGUUUCUAUAUCAAUAUACAACGACGAAGAGUUGCACAUAAUCAAGUAGGACUUGGGAGACGGCUGAAUCAAUUCUAUUAUUUGACACAACAAUAAAGUUCUUUAUACAAACUCAAUAUGGUAGUUCACUCAACGAUUUCUCAGAGAUAUAAUAAUAUAAUAUUUAUAUAUAUGUAUUAAUAUUAUAUAUAAAUAUUAAAUAUUUAUAUUUAAUUAUUUUGAAAAUUGCUGUCGACUUAAAAUAUGUGUGAAGAAACAAAUAGCUACAAGUAUCUUUUACCGAAUAGAAUACGCCGAGUAAACUUUAAAUACACAAACGAAUAUAUAUACAUUGUAAUAGAUACAUGGAUGUGUACAUUGAUAUUUUGAAACACUAGAAAUGUUCCGUUAAAAAAAAAAGUAAAAUUAAAAAGUGCACUAUAUUUUCUACAUUAAUUGGUAAUCUAUACAACUCCAAUGUUCAAAAUACAUCCUAGAGGCAUCCUAGAGAUAUCACAUAUCUCUGGUAUGUUCCUGGAAUGUAUUUUGAACAUUUAUGCUGUAUGAGAGAUACACGAGAAGCAGUAGUCGAACUUUAUAGGGCACGGUUUUAUCCAAAAUGUGUUUAUAAAUUAAGAUUUGGUUCCACUACUUUUUGUAAAAUAUACUUAUAAUAAAUUGUACACAGUAACAGCGAGUGACAAAGUAUAACAUUUUA
Molecule: long non-coding RNA, 1595 nt
Organism: Odontomachus brunneus
Lineage: Eukaryota; Metazoa; Arthropoda; Insecta; Hymenoptera; Formicidae
Exons: 3
Source: RefSeq, a predicted model, not a curated record